Molecule: ribosomal RNA, 489 nt
Filed under: uncultured bacterium
Lineage: Bacteria
Description: partial 16S ribosomal RNA
Rfam family: Bacterial small subunit ribosomal RNA
Source: RNAcentral
GAUGAACGCUAGCUACAGGCUUAACACAUGCAAGUCGAGGGGCAGCAUGAACUUAGCUUGCUAAGUUUGAUGGCGACCGGCGCACGGGUGAGUAACACGUAUCCAACCUGCCGAUGACUCGGGGAUAGCCUUUCGAAAGAAAGAUUAAUACCCGAUGGCAUAGUUCUUCCGCAUGGUAGAACUAUUAAAGAAUUUCGGUCAUCGAUGGGGAUGCGUUCCAUUAGGUUGUUGGCGGGGUAACGGCCCACCAAGCCUUCGAUGGAUAGGGGUUCUGAGAGGAAGGUCCCCCACAUUGGAACUGAGACACGGACCAAACUCCUACGGGGGGCAGGAGUGAGGAAUAUUGGUCAAUGGACGAGAGUCUGAACCAGCCAAGUAGCGUGAAGGAGGACUGCCCUAUGGGUUGUAAACUUCUUUUAUACGGGAAUAAAGUGAGGCACGUGUGCCUUUUUGUAUGUACCGUAUGAAUAAGGAUCGGCUAACUCCGUG